UGGGGAAUCUUGCGCAAUGGACGAAAGUCUGACGCAGCCACGCCGCGUGAGUGAAGAAGGCCUUCGGGUUGUAAAGCUCUGUCGGAGGGGACGAACAUGCUUACGGUGAAUAGCCGUAGGCACUGACGGUACCCUCAAAGGAAGCACCGGCUAACUUCGUGCCAGCAGCCGCGGUAAUACGAGGGGUGCAAGCGUUGCUCGGAAUUAUUGGGCGUAAAGGGUAGGUAGGUGGUCUCAUUUGUGUGGGGUGAAAGCCUUGGGCUUAACUCAAGAAGUGCCCCGCAAACGGUGAGACUCGAGUCUUGGAGAGGUGAGCGGAAUUCCCGGUGUAGCGGUGAAAUGCGUAGAGAUCGGGAGGAACACCAGAGGCGAAGGCGGCUCACUGGACAAGUACUGACACUCAACUACGAAAGCGUGGGGAGCAAACAGG
This 430-nucleotide ribosomal RNA is filed under the name uncultured bacterium. RNAcentral's name for it is "bacterial SSU rRNA". It matches the Rfam family "Bacterial small subunit ribosomal RNA", at positions 355 to 776 of the family's 1533-position model. The record is from RNAcentral.